AUACCAUGGUGUGGACAUUUUCUUAACAUUGCUUUUAAUCGUUCCCAUGCUUGGUAUACAGAUUAAGAAUCUGUUUGCAUAAAAUUAUUGAUUUCUUGCUUCAUUUU
This 107-nucleotide small nucleolar RNA is filed under the name Nicotiana sylvestris (wood tobacco). RNAcentral describes it as "Plant small nucleolar RNA R71". It matches the Rfam family "Plant small nucleolar RNA R71". From Rfam's summary of the family: R71 is a member of the C/D box family of snoRNAs containing the C (UGAUGA) and D (CUGA) box motifs. Multiple nearly identical copies of this snoRNA have been identified in Arabidopsis, and it is thought to function as a 2'-O-ribose methylation guide for 18S ribosomal RNA. Lineage: Eukaryota; Viridiplantae; Streptophyta; Magnoliopsida; Solanales; Solanaceae. The record is from Rfam by way of RNAcentral.